Molecule: long non-coding RNA, 661 nt
Filed under: Rattus norvegicus (Norway rat)
Lineage: Eukaryota; Metazoa; Chordata; Mammalia; Rodentia; Muridae
Description: long non-coding RNA NONRATT024994
Source: RNAcentral
UUUUCUUUGCAUGCAAUGUUAAGAAGUAAGGCUUUUUAUAAUGGGAUUGUUAGAGACAUCAAAGGCCCAUUGAAGGAAAACUCUUUUCUUCUGGUUAUGGGAGUGAAAUCUAUGGCCUGAGUGAGACCUAAUGUUGCAGCUGGAGUGGAAGGAUGAUGGAUAUCCACAAGGAAGAUGCUACCUCAGACUCAGUAGAGCUUCAUCAUUAAUGAGUAAUUUAUGGAUGGCGAAUGCUUUUCUUUUCAGAAAAGCACUUAAGCACACCUGGUUUCUAAUCCACCAACUGCAACAAUGGGAGUCUCACUCUUAGACUCUUAGGAUUUUCCGAAGAUGCGAAAUCUAUGUCUUGCAAAAAGAACUAAUUUAAAAGCUGAACUUAAACAUCAUCAAGAUGACCCAUUUCAUGGCUUAAUAUCUGAAGUUAUUUCUGGUCUGGCUCCAGGGCUCUCCCAAGCUUUCAGCCUGAGUUCGAACUCCAGGAGCCACAUGGUAGAAGACAGCUGCCCUCUGAUCUCCAAAUGUAUCACAGGCCCACAAAACCAUAAACACACAAACCAACAAACCAACAAAAGUUUUUGUUUUGCUUCUGGUCCUCUUCUAAUGUGGGUGGUUUCCAGGGCCCACAAGUGGCAUCUCUGGGAAGGAGGUUCUACCCAUGCAG